Molecule: long non-coding RNA, 1132 nt
Organism: Lotus japonicus
Lineage: Eukaryota; Viridiplantae; Streptophyta; Magnoliopsida; Fabales; Fabaceae
Exons: 2
Source: RefSeq, a predicted model, not a curated record
GAAAAAACCCAUCUCCUUCUCUCUUUCAAUCUGUGUAAUAUCUCUUUCGCAUUGUAAUCCAAGUUUUGAAGUUCUCAAUAAAAGCUCUAUUAUUGAUUUAUUCUAUUAUGAAUAAAGGACCUCAAUGUCAAUCUAUCCUAAAGAUAAAGAUUCAAAUUUUGCAAGACUGUCUGGCACACAUGUGACACAAGCCGAGCCACAUCCACUUCUAAUCGUUUAAUGUCAGCUCAUCAUUCAAAAAGAUUGAAGACAAAUGUCAAAGCAUCAACGAUAAAGUCAAAAUGCAACCGACUGCUAAGGAUUCAAACGAGAUCAUGUGAAGACUUUCUCUCUCCUUGAAGCACGCUGAUUAACGAGGAAAAGUACAACAUGUCUACAUCAAAUUUCCCUAUUGUCUCACUUCUGAAAAGUAGCCAAAGUCUAUUGCCACCUACUAGCUGACAAGCCUCACCUUUUCGGUAAAAGGACAGACAUAAACAGUAGCAUGCAUUUAAUGCAUCUACCAACCGGAGCCAUUUGAAGCAACGGAUGUAUCUAUCUCACAACGGCUAGAACAACGGUUGAAAUUGUCUCACAACGGACACAACAAAUGCAAGCAAGUAUUUAAGGCGAUUCUGAAGAAAGAACAGAAGAAGAGUCAAGACCGAAAGAACAAGAACACCAAGCAUUCAUUCAUUCAUUAUUCUAAGCAUUCAAAGCUCUUCAAGUUCACAACAGAAAUUCUUUUAGUGUCAAAUCCUUGAACACCAACUCUGCAAGAAAAGAGAGAGAACCUAGAACUUUAAAUAGUCGAAUCUCUUCGUUUAUUUCUCUCUAAGAAUCAGAACUCUUGAGUGAUCCAAAGUCAUAUCUAAACCAAAACACUUAGUGUCACUGCCAUAAAUUCUCUACCAUCACUCUUGUAAGAAGAGAAUCUUUGUAGAACCAAACAAUCUUGUAAAGAUUGUAGGAGAAGUUCUGGACAAUACUUGUAGGAGAAUUCUUGUAGAAUACUUGUAGGAGAAGUCCUGGAGAAUACUUGUAUUGGAGAAGUCCUUGAUACUUGCUAGUUAAAAUCUUUGUGGUGGCCAAGUACUUGACGUAGCCCAUCGUUUAAGGGUGAACCAAUAUGAAUUUGUGUGUGUUGAUCGUC